GAGAAGAAACUAGUUGAAUCUAAGGAAUUUGGUAGAGGGGGACUUGUUUGACUGCAAAGUCGAUUAAAAUUUUUUUGUUCACCAAUGAAAUUGGAAGGGAAAGGCAUACAAAUAAUCCAAGGCAAAGAGAGAAAACAAAGGGCUAAUGUUAAUGUUGAUCACAUGAUAAAUUAGUUAUCAUAUUAAUUUUAUAUACAUUACAGAAAAUUCAGAGAUCUAAAAUUAACGAUCAAUUUGUUGCGAAAAAUUACAAAUCCCUUCAGGCUACAGUCUACAAGUUGUUCAACCAUGGCCAACGAUUUCUUGCUUAUCAAAAUUGAAAGAGUGGUUGAAUGGAUGAUCAAUUGGGACCCCAGCAGCUGAGGUACAUGACUUUCCUGAGAGACUCCUCAGACUGCUUUAUCUUCUCAUCUUGUCUAACUUGAAUUGAGAUCAAAGCAGAAGAUGGGGAAGAGAACUUGUUGGCCUGAGAAAACGACCCAAGUUGGUUCUUGGCAUGCUGCUGCAGUAAUCUCAUAGUAUAAUUCCACCUGCAGAUCCCCUGGUCUUUCAAGGCCUCCACAACUCCAACACUUGCUGCCACUACCCAACCUCUCCUUGCUGCUGCUGAUGAAAUAGUCAUAUUUUCUAUCUGUAUAUAUUUUUUAACAAAUAACUCUUGAUGGAAAUUGCAAGUGAAGAAAACUGAUGUUUGUUUGAUGUGUUUGAAUUUUGAUUUGGUGAAGAAAAUGGUGAGUGGGUGUUGCUUUUAUAUGGAGUAACACUUCAACUAAAUUCAUGAAUGUAGGAGGAAAGUGGAAGCCCAUAUAAUGUGGGAAAAACCAUGGGAAGCCAAUGGUUUACUUAGCUGGUCAGACUCACUCAUUGACAGAGGAGACAAACUUAGGUUGGGUAGGACCAAGCAAAGGCACACGGUUUUCCUUUAAAAAAAUCCAUUUAAGCCUCAAGUAUGGGAGGAGAUACCACUUGUUUUACUUUAUGGAGCUAAAACAGGGACUCGGUUUUUUUUUUUUUUUUUUUUUUUUAAAUAAGAAUUAGAGAUGUCAUUGUUAAAAGAAGUUGAGAUUUAUAUCAUAAAACUAAUUGGUAUUCUAACUCGAUUUUUCAUAAGUACAUGCAGGGUUUAUUUUAUUUUAUUUUUAUGUGAGAUUCUUCCCCCCAACAAUUUUCCUAAAUUAGAGAAUGGUUAUUAGAAAAUAUUUAGGUUUGAGUCUCAUACUAAAUGCCUAAAAGGGAUAAAACCAUGAAACAAACUAGUAAAGUCAUCCAAUCUGAUACUAAAUGCCUAAAUUGCGUUGGACUGGAUUCUCACUAGUAAAGUCAUCCAAUCUGAUUCAAUCAUGUUGGUUUGAAAUUUAGGGAUCCAAAACCAUUAAAAUCGGAUUGAACCAGAUUGGAUCAGUCGGUUUGGGAGGUUUGAAAGGGAUCUUCAACACCCCUACAAUCGUGGCUAAUCUUCUGUCCUAGUUCAGACUAUGUUUCUAUUUCUGUUCUUUUGAUCUAAUGGAAAGUUUUUGCUCCCUUUUCUUUUGGUAUGGUUGGAUGUUGCUAAUUCUUCACUCUUUUGGUAUGGUUGAACGUCUUGCCAGCGACCACGGAGGCAGCCACACUGGAGCAAACGAGAUACAAACAAUUUUGUCUCAAAUUUGAAAAUCACCUAACUACGUUCAGCAACAUUUCAAGGAAAGUGAGAGUAUAAUAGGCGCUUUUGUCAAUCCAUCAUAGCACCAUUUUUUGUGGGGGCAAUAUUUAAACUUCAAUUUCCAUAAGAGCCCUUCUUCAAAUGUACCGUUGUGAAAAUAAAAAAAUUCAACUCAAUAGUGAUCAGCAAUUCUCAGAUUUAUAUGUUUGAUUUACAUGGCAAUUGUCAUAACAUAACAAAAUUUACAUCAAUUUGCCAGGACCUAGCAGACAUCAAUUGCCUGCCACUUACGAUCCCAAACGAUAGCCUUUGCUAAUAACUUAAGGACCCCUUCAUGGGGUGUUCCAUCAGCAAGCGCUUACACAAAAACAUGCAAUCUUAAUUUGCUCUUGUUUCUGUGAAUGAAUAAUUGAUUAGUUGUUGGGACCCCAGCAGCUGAGGUACAUGACUGUCCUCAAAGACUCCUCUGAUUUCUUCAUCUUCUCAUCUCUCACUUUACUCAGAACUGAAGCAGAAGGAGAAGAGAGCUUGCUGUUGGCCUGAGAAAAUGACCUCACUUGGCUCUUGGCUUGUUGGCCUACAUAUCUCAAAGCAGAGUUCCAUCUGCAAAUCCCUUGGUCCUUGAGUGCCUCCACAACUCCAACACUUGCUGCCACUAUAGCCUUGCUUGCACUUGAUGAACUCAUGAUUUCUUUUCUCUCCUUUGGGUAUUCUGAAUUCUUUUGGUAGUGAUUGUGAAUGUUUAAGUGUUUGAUGAAGGAUAUGAGCAUGAAGCGCUCUUUAUAUGGGAACUAGAAAGGGUGGGCCUUUCCACCAAUUACUAGAGGCGGUUUAGAGUGUAAAGCCAAUGGUAUAUAUAUUUCUUUUCUUGUCUUUUUGUCACACUCAUUACCACUAACUAUACAAAUGAGCACACGGUUUUCCUUAUCAAAUCCACCUAAGCCUCAGGUAUGGGAGGAAACACCACCUGCUUUUGUUUGUUACAGUGAAAAUGUGAAUGUAUAUACAGAUAAAAUGUCAAUAGCAUGUCAAUUAAAGUAACACGUAUUAAUACUAACAUAUCGAUACACACUAGGUUUUUUUUUUUUAACAAAUUCUAGCUACUUGAAUCUUUAAGUGCAUGAACCAGAGAAAAAAUGGAUAACUUCCAUAUUUGGAAAAUGAGUAAUUUUGAUGAUAAUAAAUCAACACAGUAAUUAUAUCCUCAUCCAUGAGAAGAAACUAGUUGAAUGUAAGGAAUUUGUAAGGGUGGGCCUUUCCACCAGUAACUAGAGGCGGUUUAGGGAGUGUAAAGCCAAUGGUAUAUAUUUCUUUUCUUCUCCUUCUGUCACACUCAUUGCCACUAACUAUACAAAUGAGCACACGGUUUUCCUUAUAAAAUCCAACUAAGCCUCAGGUAUGGGAGGAAACACCACUUGUUUUUGUUUGUUUUAGUGGGAAAUUGUCAAACUGUUUCCAAGACAAGAUAAUCUAUUCAGCUAAACAACUAUAUCCUUUUUUUUUUUUGGGAUAAAAAUUAAUUAACUCAGAUUUCAAAGAUUUUAGAUUUCAUUUUUCUAAAUAGUACUAUCCAUACAUCAUUUUUUACCUUAUACUCACUUUUAUUAGUUUUUGUUCAUUAAUCUUUUUCAUUCAUUCGAUCCAAUAGCUGGAAAUUAAGAGAGUGUAUGAGAGGUAAAAUUUGGUGUAUGGAUAGCACUACCCUUCUUAUAAAUAAAUAUCUAAGAAAAUUGCUACUAAAAAUUACUUAGAAAACAAACUUAUUGAGAGAAUAAAUCUUACAUCAAGUAAAAUAAGUCUUAUUUGAUAGUUUAAAUGAUUUUGGCAUCUCUCCCUUAUUGUGAGUUGUGUUCGGAUGGAUACUCACAUUCUAAUAUGAAAUCAAAGCAGGCUAUGCACUUGUUGAGUCAAGGGUCUACGUGCCCACACGUUAGCUAAUUAAUGUGGCCCACGUGCUAGACUUAAAAUGACCCCACACUUCUUUGUCAAUAAUUGCGAUAUCAUCAAAAAGUGGUGUAGUCUUUUUCGCGUGAUGCCUUUAUAGUAUUUCUCCGGCUGGAUUUGGAUUCUCCGGGUGGUGUAGUCUUUUUGAUGAGUUUGCAAUUGCAGUAUUUCUUAUAGCAUGAGUGGCCUCUCAUUCCUGAUCGAGAAAUUUCUCAUGUGGUUCUUCUUAAGCAAGGCUUCUUGUUGAGGAAUAAAUGUUAUUAUUCACUUUAUGAUGAUACCUGCCUUCACUUCUUCGAUUUUCAAGUGGUUCGCCUUUUGAUUUCAAGUGAUUUUACCCUGAAAUAAUUCUAGCCUUUCUUAAAUUACUUUCAAGCAUGUCCAGUCAGUCCAGUCAUUUAGCUACAAGCUUCAUACUUAAAUACUCCUGACUGCUCAAAUAGUCUUAAACAAUUUUAACUAUCUGAGUGGGCUUAAAUAUUCUUAACUACCUAAACAGGCUCCAAAUUACGUGUCCAAAUAGAAAUUACCUAACUACGUUGAUAAAUUUCAAUGGAAGAGAGUAUACUGUAUGCAUUUCUGUCGCUCCAUGUCAUAGUACCAACUUUGGUGGGAAAUUUUACACAAUGUCAAUGAUUUCCGGAGUUCUUGCAUUCUCUCAUCAUCGCCCAUAUAUUGCGUAUGCUUGCACAGGCCUAUAAAUUUUGAAUAAAAAACGUUUGAAUACUGGCAAAUUUAACGCCAUUAUAGGAUGAUAAAUGUUCCACUCAGGACAAAGUAACUAGUAGCUAAGUGUGUCCUCUGCGGAGUCCAGGGUGAAUCUACAAUUCACCUUAUCCGCGAUUGUGCAUUUGCUAAGUGUGUCUGGCUUGCUACUCCGAUUGGUAUCCCUCCUUCUCCGCCUUAUGUCCUCUCGAUGUUGGAUUGGAUUCUGAGUUGGACUUCUCACCUCAAUCCAUCGAACUUUGCUCUUGGUUUAAUGGUGCUUUGGGCAAUCUGGGGUGCACGAAAUAACCAUCUCUGGAAUGACUGUAUGGACUCUCCUGACAUCAUCGCUGCUUGGGGUCUCUCUUGGUGGCAAAAGUUCCAGAGAGUUGCUCCCCCCCCCCCUCCCUGAGACUCGCUACUCGUCACCAAGUCCCUCAUAGGUCGUCCCGCCCUCCUGCCCAUUUCCUUCAAGCUAGGGGGUUUUCAAAACAAUAUCCUCGAGAGUGAUUCAUUCCAGAUUGUGACGCAUCUACAUAAUUCUUCCAAUUAUUUUUCCGACAUUGGACUCUUCCAACUAUUUGUCCGACAUUGGACUCUUAAUUGAAGACUCGCGUGUGAUCCUGUCUUCAACCACUAGAGCUUAUGCUACCAUGUUCGUCGCCAAGUCAAUCGUAUUGCUCAUCGCCUUGCACGGUUUGCCUUUACUUCAAGUUCGUCAUGUAACUGGUUUGAGAAACCUCCGGACCUCAUCUCAAAUUUACUGUUUGACGAAGCUGUUUUGUAAUUGACGUAGGGCUUUGUAACUCUGUUUUUGAAAUGAAAUGAAUCUAUCGAGUACUUUUUCAGAAAAAGAAAAAAAAAAAACAACUACUGGCUAAAGAUGAAAAAAAGAAACGAGAUCAAGGUAGAAAUUCUCAGCAACAAUUUCUGUUCUAUAUGGUGAUUGUUACAACGAAACAAAAUUUACAUCAAUUAGCCCCAAGCAAACAUCAUCAUUUGCCGUAAUUUACAACCCUAAUCUUUGCUCUUGCUUUUGCGAAUGAAUCAUUCAAUUAAUUGUUGGGACCCCAGCAGCUCAAAAACAUGACUGUCCUCAAAGACUCCUCUGAUUUCUUGAGCUUCUCAUCUCUCACUUUACUCAGAGCUGAAGCAGAAGGAGAAGAGAGUUUGUUGUUAGCCUGAGAAAAUGAUCUCACUUGGCUCUUGGCUUGUUGGCCUGCAUAUCUCAAAGCAGAGUUCCAUCUGCAAAUCCCUUGGUCCUUGAGUGCCUCCACAACUCCAACACUUGCUGCCACUAUAGCCUUGCUUGCACUUGAACUCAUGAUUUCUUCUCUCUCCUUUCGAUAUUCUGAAUUCUUUUGGCAGU
Molecule: long non-coding RNA, 5660 nt
Filed under: Malus domestica (apple)
Lineage: Eukaryota; Viridiplantae; Streptophyta; Magnoliopsida; Rosales; Rosaceae
Description: long non-coding RNA (MDOM_LNC017248)
Source: RNAcentral